GCAUCUCCUGUCACUCCCACUGCCAGCUGGCCAAGUCUGGCUCAUGCGGGCAUUUGAGCUGUUGAGCACAGGGCCAGGUUUGGGGAGGUUGGGCUCUGUCACUUUUGAGCAGCAAAACCUUGGGAAUGUUGACAACACUGGGCCUAAGAUUUCUGCAGCAAGAAAAUGAACAUGAUAAACCUCAUUCAUACAAGUGCCUGAGAAAUGUUGAAUUGGUUCCUUCCACGACUUCAAUUAAGGUGAGUGUUCACGGAGGUCACAUGGGUGAAGCACUCAGUAGUGAAGUUGGCAGAUAGGAAGUGUUUGGGGGCAGACAUCCUGGUCACUAGAGGCAAUUUGGAGACAGCGAAUAGGGGGGUAAUUAGAACUGGGUGGGUAUUCUCAGGGGGCACAGGGAGAGGGGACAGUAGAAGAGGGGUGUGGAAAAACUCAUAUAUAAAGCUGAAAAACCUCAUGUGUAAAGCACAGAUAGACACACAGUACAUAAGCACAGGUAGUUACUCUGUUAGUAACAUUUCAUUUAUAAGGAAAAAAAGGUUUACAAAUCCUCCUUUAGGGCAGCCAUCAUUGGGUUAGGACACAAAGCUAAUCUCUUCUGACCACAGUGAGGUGAAGCAGGCUUGAGGGAACCCAGACUCAAUGAUGGGAAUCCCCUACAUUGAUCUUACUCUGUAGAGUUUACCAAGGGGCUUGUAAAUGACAGGGAGCGGGCUCAGGGUGGAAGAACCUGAGACACCCCCCACUCCCCAGUGGUUGGCACAGCACAGAUGCUCUGGAAGAGGAGCAGGAAAGCAUGGUCAUUUAACCAAUGAGCUUGAAUCAGACACACUUGUUUCAAAUUCUGGCCUCCCCGCUCACUGUGUGACUUGGGUAAGUGCUUAACCUUGGGUGACUUGCUUAACCAUAAAGUAGGGAUGAUAAUAGUACCAAAUCAUGGUGUGCUGCGGUGAUUGAAUACAAAAAGCUUCUGGGACAUUGGCAGGGACACAGGAAGGGUUUGGCAAAUGUUAGUUAUUAGUAUUUUGCACGCUCAUGUUUCUGAGAAGACAGGGCAUGGCUUUCAUAAAGUUCUCAAAAGGAUCAUGACUCACGAAGGUGAAGAAUCUUGGAAAGGCAAGAGCUACUCUCGUAAACCACGGCAUCAGGUGCAGUCCCGGCCCCGCUUACCCAGGAGCCACGGUGUUCUGUGUAUCCAUCAGGGUCUCUGUACCUCGGUCCAGUGGCUCAUCAGAUCACAGCCGGACCACUGCAGCCUCACCUUGCCACCCCUCCUCCCUCCACCGCGUCACUUCUUAGCUCUCCUUGUCACCUCUCGUCCUGCUUCAGUCUUCUGGAAUUGUUUCUGUUUAUCUGAGAUUUUUCACGUUUCCAGUCCUAUCCUCCUGACGCCCCACACACUGAAACGCCUUCAGUGGCUCAUCAUGACCUUUAGAUAAAAGGUCAAACUCCUGUGCAUGACACAGGGCCUGACCUGGCCCUGUCCACCCCUUGACCUGGCCCUGUCCCCCCCGCCUCCCACCACACUAACCAGCGCCUUUCUGCCCGACCCUCCCUCGCCUCCGCCCUGGCAGACGCUCUCCUCUGCCUCCAAUGCCCUUGUCUCUCUGCAGCAAGUCCCAAGCUCACAGUGUCGCCUGAUAUUUCCAGACUGAUGUUUAUGUGCUUUGUCUACACCCCCCUUGAAUUUUAAAACAAUUUUUUCAUUGAUUUUUGUGACUUAUUUUUCAUCUCCCAAAGACUCUGAGCUCCUUAAAGAAAGAGAGCAAAUGUUUUUUCCUCUUUGAUCCUCAGUGCUGAGUUCAAGUUAUAGUAGCACUAAGUAUAUACUCAAUAAAUAUUUGUGGGAUAGAUAAAUAGAGGAAUGAAUAGUGUUUAAUAAGCUUUUUAUGCUCAUAUGUUAAUAAUUGAAAGAGCUGACUCGAGAAGCCAAUGUAUUCAGGUGGCACAAGACCCCAACUUGGCUCAGUUUAGUCCAAAAGAGCAGUAGGCCUGUGUUAGUUAGCUUUCUGUGCUGAUAACAAAAUAUUUGAUAGAAGCUAUUUAUGAAGUAAAGAGAUGUUUAUUUACCUUAAUGUGGGAGGUUCAAGUCCAAGAUGGGGUGACCUUGUUGGUCUGGCCUCUGGGGAAGGUGGUGCAUGAUAGCCCAUCAUGGUAGGAACACAGGUAGGUGCAGACAGUUACCUCUCAAAUCAGCAGAGAGAUAGCAAGAGACCCAGUUCCCACAAUCCCUUCAAGGGCAUCCCCUCAAUAAUCCAAAGACCUCCCACUAGGCCCCUCUGUGUGUGUGAGUGUGUGUGUGUGUGUGUGUGUGUGUGUAUUACUUGGGAUGGAUCCCAGAGCCUUAUGCAUGCUAAGCACACACUCUACUGCUGAGUUGUACCUCCAGCCCCCAAGUCCCUUUGAUAUGAUUUAGAACAAAGGCAUACAAAUCUUAAGCCCCAUCCCAUCCCAUAAAGGUCCAUAGUGCCUCCAAUACCACCACCCUGGGGACCAAACUUUACAUACGGGCCUUUGGGGAAUGCAAUGCCCAAAGCUUUGAAGUCCAAGGGGCAGGAUCCUUGGCGGAGCUGAUCCCUUGGGGUCCAAUGACAGUGGCAGCAUCCUGUCCCUAUCCGGCUCAGCCCUGCGAUCUUCUUGGCUCUUCAUUCUCCCACAGGUCUUAUCCACCAGAGGUGGACUCUCUCAGCAACAGGCUCAGUUCAUUUUUUGAGUGUCAUGGAGAGAACAUUCCCUCUCCUAGCAACCAUACAUCAAAUCCCUCCGAGGGGCUCUGAUUGGCCUGCCUGGGUCUGUGCCCCUCCAUGACACUAAUAGUUUAAAGCAGGAAAUGGGGUGUCAUGACUGGUCAGGCCUGAAUCACAUGUGGUCAGAGGGCAAGUGAGGCCAUGUGACUAGCAGUCCACUGGCACCUGUGAGGAUAGGGAGCCACGGUGACAGUGAGAAGAGGUGGACAGACCUCUUGGUGUGUCUCCGCUUUACCCAAUAUUCCCUCCACAAUGCCACAGAGCCACUCCAGCCAACAGUGAGCAGAAAAGAGACAGCACUUAUUUUUAUUUCCAUGCAUGCUUUGGGGAGUUGGCUGAAAAGGAACCUUGGACAUUGUGCCUUUUGGUUGGUUUAGAUGUGUUUAGACGUGACAGAUUUCAGUCUCAGCUCUUUGGGGGAAUAAAAUAAUGAUUUUAUUUAUUCCAUUCACCUCUCCUUGCUACUCUGUAUGAAAUCUUUCUUUUCUUCCCACUGGAUAGUAGACCCUUUAUUAAAAUCAUGAGCUGAUUCAAUAUUUUUUAAACAGUUCAGACAACUAAAAUUCAGUUUGGUUUAGUUUAAAAUUGGAGUUCUAAAUGUCCAUUUCAAAUUUCCCAGUUGCCCCGACUGGGACAAAGGGGCUGUGAGCUGCUCCUCUUACUCCUUCCUCAGACCUGGGCAUUGUAACGGGUAAGUGGGAGGAGGGCUGAGCAGUCCUGGCUCUCUUCCUGCCGGUGUUAGUCAGCUUUUGGCUCAUGGUUACAGAGGUUCAGUCCCUGGUGUGCUGAUUGCAUUGCUCCAGACCCACCGUGAGGCAGAGCAUUGUGGCAGAAGGGUGCCGCAGAGGAGCCUGCUCACCUCAUGGCGGCCAGGAACAGAGAAGGAAAAGGGAAGGGGCUGCAGGAAAGAUGCACCCUUCCGGGCCACACCCGCAGUGAUCCAAUCAUCCAGCCAGGCCCCGCAGGCCUCCAGGUACCACCCAGUCCAUCCAACCUGGCUGUGCCGUUUAGGUUACAGCACCCACAGUCCAACCACGUCACUUCUGAACUCUUCUGCAUUAACACUGGAGCUCUGGGGUAGGGGCAUCUCCUAUCCAAACCAUAACCCAUGCUUUUCUGGGUCUACUCCCUGCAGGGCAUUGAGGAUCAGAAGACCAGCUCAGCAUGAGCAUCCUGGUAGAGGGUGGGGAGACGCUUUGCUGCGGUGCUUUCUGUGCAUAUGAUCUGCACAGUGUUCUAGAGGCAGUAUUGAGCCUCCUCCUGCUCCCUGGGGUCCCUACUCUCUCUGACCCCUCAUCUCAGGAGCACCUCCUCUCUUGGCAGCCUGAGUCCGCUCCAUGUCUCCCGCCCCUGUCUUUAACCCCUUGCUUCCUGACAUGGAGCCAGGAGGAUCUUUGAUAUCUUUGGUGACAUGCUCAGCUGCAGGGAACAGGGCAAGGCCACUGAGUGAUUUUUCUUGGAGCUUCCCUUGCCCUUAAUUCACUAAGAAAGCACUUCUUACAGUAUGGCCCAUGGACUCCUGGGGACCUUCAAGAGCCUCUCAUUGGAUUCUCAAGGCCGGAAUCUUUUUUUUUUUUUAAUAAUGGAAUGUUAUUUGUUCUUUUCACCUUGUUCCCUUUUGCAGUAAUGAUACACUAUAAUGGUGGGAAAAACUGCUGGUGUCUUAGCGUGAAGGAAGUUAGUGGUGCCCAAAUGCACUAGCAGUCUCUGGAUUCUUCACCACCACCUACUCGCCAGCAGAACCAAAAACUUUGGUUUCACUUAAGAUGAUGUCUUGAUGAAGAAGUAAAAAGCAUUGAUUAAGUUUCUCUCAACCCUUGAGUAUCCAUCUCUAUAAUAAUAUUUGCCGUUGAGAGGAAGAUACACUUAAAGCAGUCCUGUGGCACGUGAAAUAAGAAAAAAAAGGAAAAAAAAAAAAACCACUGUAAGGUGAAGGAACUUAGCCCCUUCUUUCAGGAAAGAAUGACGGACAUGCCAAAUAUUGUGAUACCGGUUGGUUACAAAGAGAGUCUGUCCCUUCCAGGGGCGGAGUGGGAAGCAGUAUUUGUUACAAAUACUGACAGUAUAUAUUACCAAUGAUACAAUUUGCUUUCAAGCAGAAACUGGAAUUUUACAAAAUUUGCAUCUGAUAUCAUGAGCUUCCUAUACUGAAAACUUUUGUGAUGACAUUGCGGGUUGUUUUGGUUUGGCUAAGAGGUGUCCCCUCAAAGCUCCUAUGUUCAUACAGGAAUGUUCAGAGGUGAAUUAUUAGGUGAGAUAACCCCUGAGAAAUUACUAUAGAACUGGUAAAGUUUUGAUGUGAUAUAAUAGAAGAAUAGCUGCAGUUAUAUUGAAAACUAUUAAAAAUUCCUUUCAAACUACAUUUGUGUGAGGCCAGAUUUUUAUAUUCUUCAAUCAAAGCAAUGUAAUUCAACAUCUUAAAUGCAGAAACAGAUGUGAGAAUUGCAGGUAUUUUCUAUUAAGGUAGAUAAUAAAGAGAUUUUCAAAACUGAAAGAUAAUGCUACUUUUUUUUGAAGAUGGAUUAAUUUUUUCAUAUUUUAUGUGAACACAUAAUGGAUGUAUUUAAUGAUGUUUAAGUCAGAUAAUAAGUGAAUAUUUUUAAAAUUCUACUUUUAAUUCCUAAUACUGUGAGCAUUCAUAGAUCUAACCCACAUAAAAUAAACCUCUUUGGACUUACCAAUAAUUUUUAAGAAUGUAAAAGGAUCUUUGUGAUUAAAACAAGAAUUGAGAACUGCUGUGCCAGGAAAUGGGGGAGCACCCUGGCCUCCACUGUAUGGGAAAAAGAGGUUGCUGUUUGCCAACCCCAAAUACAGCAGGACCUGCUAGGCCCGUGACUAGCUACCCACACAACCCAUGACCCCUUCCGUGUGUUCAAGAAUCGUUUCUUCUGUUGCUCCGGGAAGUCCUGGGUGGAGCUGUGGCGGAACUCUUUGUGCCUCUAGCUGUGUUUAGAAGGUUGGUAUCUGGAACCUUUGUCCAAUCUUGGCUGUCCAUCCCGGAAGCCAGGAAGCUUCCCACUCAAUGUCUUGCUAAAUAAUCUUGAAUCAUUUGAUAGUAUUUAUUUAUUUUUUUUCUUUGUAGGAGAGUAGCUAUUCUGUUCUAUCGUGACAAAACAGUGCUUUGACCUCAUUCUCAGGUAUCCGUUAUCACUUUGGAGUGGCAAUGAAUAGAGGUCAGAAGACGGGGUGGAAUUUGGAAAGGAACACAGGCUUAAAUACAAUCCCAGCUGCACCACUUAUAGAGGGACUGGGCAUUUUCUCCUAUGUAAAAUCAGGGUAAAAAUACCUGCCUCUCCUAUUUCUUAGAGACAAUGCACGGAGAUCAUGAGAUGCAGUGAAAUGACCUGUUGUCCUCAUGAUUGUUUUCGUUGGCUUUUUGUUGCUGUGACCAAAAGACCUGAGGAGAACAACUCAGAGGAGGAAAGGUUGAGUUGGGCUCACAGUUUCACAGACUCAGUCCUUGCUCAGUUGACUCCUUUGCCCUGAGGAGAGAGAGAACAUCGUGGCCGAGGGGCGUGGAGGGGGAAAGCAGCUCAGGGCAUGGCCACCAGGGAGCAGAGAGAGAGAGAGUUCUGCUCACCAGAGACAAAGUAUAAACCCAGCGGCAUGCCCCCAGGAACCUACUUCCUGCGCCACAUCCAGUGCCUACUGUUAGCACCCAGUUCAUCAUCUCAGUGGACUAACUGAUAGGCUCUCCUAAGGUAGUCACUUCACUUCUGAACAUCCUGGCAUGGUCUCCCACAUGAGCUUUUGGGGGAUACCUCAUAUCUAACCCGUAACAAUCAUCAUCAUCAUCCUUCUCUUAGCAGGGUAGAUGGGAGAGGCUGCUGGUGGAACCUUCUGAGGCUACAGUUGAAGUCCUCCUUGGUGCACCCAUGCAGGUCUUCAUGGUCUCUUAUCUCCUUUCUCUCUGAAGGGCAGGGAACAGCAGAUCCACUGGACAAGAUGAACAUCUAUCACUCUCUUCCCCACUCUGUCCUGACAAAGAGAAAAAUCCUUCCUUCGAUAAUGGUUGGCACACACGUUUUUCCUGAGGAGACCUUUCUUCUUGCCUCCAAUUACCCCCAAGGCCUGCACCUUCCUUUGGCCUUCUCCCUAACUCUAGACCUUGGUGUGGGUCAGCGUGGAUUCAAAACACCUACCACUGGGUACCAUGUUUGGUCAACAGUGGAAAAAAUAAAGAGCUGAUUGGAUUUUAUGAAAUAAGAUUUGCUGAAUAAAAAGCUAUUGGA
RNAcentral lists this long non-coding RNA (6976 nucleotides) under Marmota monax (woodchuck). The record is from RNAcentral. Lineage: Eukaryota; Metazoa; Chordata; Mammalia; Rodentia; Sciuridae.